GUUUAUCAGCUCUACAUUUCUUUAAUUGCACCAAUUAAAGUGUGCUUUUGUCUUUGAUUAUAUCAGUCUUGUCCAUUUCUAAUCCUUCACACAGGUCAUGGUUUGUGUAUUAAAGAAAAGCUCAUUACAAAAAUCUAUUUAACCACAGAACUGCAAUCUAAAGUCCUGCUGCCGUGCCUUUUUGAACCAGCUCUCUUUGGAUCAGACCUGACCAUGAGUUCGAGUGCUCUGUGGACUCAGAUUAAUAAUGAAACAGUUGACUACAUUUUAGAGAUCAUAGUAAAUGGUCAGAUAAGCUUCUGGAAUAACAGACACAAUAGAAUUAAUGGAUUCGGUGAUGCUGCUGCCUCUGAAAACUUCUCCAUCCUGAUUAGAGAUGUGCGGCUCUCUGAUCUGGGUCUCUACCGCUGUCAACUGUACAGAGACUUCAACUGUUCUCUGGGCUAUAAAGAGAUAGAAAUCAGUCUGGCUGCUGUCGAGUUUUCACUGCUCCGUAACUGGCAGCUCAUAGCUGCAGGAGGAGGAGGAGGAGGAUUUCUGCUGCUCUGUCUGGUCUCUGUGUGUGUUUACUAUACAUGGACAAAACGACAAACAGUCAAUGAAUCAGUCAACCACAGAUCACACAACUGCCAUGAUGUGGAUGGAGACAAAAAUACUGAAAUAACCUAUGCAUCAGUUGUUUUUAAGCCACACAACUGCCAUGACAAUGAAGUUCUUCUAAAUAAUGACGCUGUAAAUGGCUCUGCAUCAGAACUUGUCAGCUCAGAGAAGGUCCUUUAUGCUACUGUCAAGCAAAGAGACAGAAGAUGAGCAAGUGAGCAGCGAAAUAUCCAAAUUAAAACACUCAAGAAAAAACUAAUGAUUCUAGAGAAUUCCCAUCUUGUAUUGUUUGAUUUAUCAGCAAUUGAAUCUAACAGGAGUGGAAAUGCUGUAUAGGCUUAUCUUGCAAAUAAAAAUGACUGUACAAGUGCUCUGAAAAGAUGAACAGUGAGGGCACCAAUCCACCGU
RNAcentral lists this long non-coding RNA (1008 nucleotides) under Sinocyclocheilus grahami. RNAcentral's name for it is "lncRNA (ENSSGRG00000043738.1)". Lineage: Eukaryota; Metazoa; Chordata; Actinopteri; Cypriniformes; Cyprinidae. The record is from RNAcentral.